CUAAUAGCUAAAACUUUCAACAACGGAUCUCUUGGUUCUGGCAUCGAUGAAGAACGCAGCGAAAUGCGAUAAGUAAUGUGAAUUGCAGAAUUCAGNGAAUCAUCGAAUCUUUGAACGCACAUUGCGCCCUCUGGUAUUCCGGNGGGUAUGCCUGUUCGAGCGUCAUUGCAAUCCUCAAGCACCGCUUGGUAGUGGGCCUCGCCCCCGUGGNGUGCCCGAAAUCCCGUGGCGGUCCGGCGAGACUUCGAGCGUAGUAAGAUUUCANUAUCCCGCCUCGGAAGCUUCUCGGUGGACCUGGCCAACAACAAUGCAAGUGAACAACUUCCACGAUUGACCUCGGAUCAGGUAGGGAUACCCGCUGAACUUAAGCAUAUCAAUAAGCGGAGGAAAAGAAACCAACAGGGAUUGCCUCAGUAACGGCGAGUGAAGCGGCAACAGCUCAAAUUUGAAAUCUGGCCCUUUUCCGGGUCCGAGUUGUAAUUUGGAGAGGGUGUUUCGGGCGAGGCGCCGACCUAAGUCCUUUGGAACAGGGNGUCAUAGAGGGUGAGAAUCCCGUAUGCGGUCGGUGACCG
This 572-nucleotide ribosomal RNA is filed under the name Dimelaena oreina. RNAcentral describes it as "eukaryotic LSU rRNA". The stretch from base 332 to 572 matches the Rfam family "Eukaryotic large subunit ribosomal RNA", at positions 1 to 238 of the family's 3401-position model. Lineage: Eukaryota; Fungi; Ascomycota; Lecanoromycetes; Caliciales; Caliciaceae. The record is from RNAcentral.